Molecule: transfer RNA, 70 nt
Filed under: Palaeopropithecus ingens (large sloth lemur)
Lineage: Eukaryota; Metazoa; Chordata; Mammalia; Primates; Palaeopropithecidae
Description: tRNA-Tyr
Rfam family: tRNA
About the family: Transfer RNA (tRNA) molecules are approximately 80 nucleotides in length. Their secondary structure includes four short double-helical elements and three loops (D, anti-codon, and T loops).
Source: RNAcentral
GGUAAAAUGGCUGAGAGAAAGGCAUUGGACUGUAAAUCUUAAGACAGAGGUUUAAACCCUCUUUUUACCA